AUUUAAGAUAGUAAGUUCUUCAAUAAAAUGUGUUUGUUACUAUAGCUAUUAAAAAUAGUAAGUUCUUAUUGAGGUCUAGGAUGUGAAUUAUGUAAAAAACUCUUUUUUUUCCCUCAAAAGUUAUUUUUAAUAAUUUGUUCUGGAAAACCAAGUUUUGGAAGUUGGAAAAUAAACAAGUAGUGAUGUACUUAGAAAAUCUGAGAAAAUGAAAACCAAAAAGAGCAACUGAGAAAACGCAGAUACAAUUGGACUUAUUCUCUAGAUUCUUGUAAAGCUUGAGACUUGACGAGGCCAGGCACUGCUGAGCCAGGGGUUAGAGGUAGGGCCACCAAAGGAGUAUACAGGGAAGUAUUUCAGAAGCACUUAGAGGUUAGGGAUGUGGCUCUGUCGGAGGAGUGCAUGCCUCCUAGACACAAAGCCCCAUGUUUGAUCCUCCCUCGACAAGUGUUGGAGUGCACAUCUGUAAUUCUACACCAGGAGUCAAACGCAGGAGAAUCAGAAGAAGUUCAAGGCCACCCUUGGCUACAUUUAGGAGCAGAUACACCAGACACUGUUUCAAACAACAGCAAAGAAGUGCUCAAUGCCUACACACUCCCCUGCCGACCCUAUCCUGUUCACUCACACCCCUCCCAUGAGCUGCUGAGCCUUUCAGAGAACGGGAAGCAGUAUUGUUGAAGCAGAGCAGAAGGCACAAAGGAUGAUUGUAUACUUCACUGAAAAUAGAAUGAAUUAAGACAGAAAGGCUCACGAAGAAGCAUUAGAUGUUACUGUGCACUGGGUUUUAGACAUUAGGCAGUAUUUUCCAAGCUGAGGUUGGGGACAUAUACCUGUAAUCCCAGCAUGUGAGACUGAAACACAAAGAUGGGGCUAGCCUGGGCUACGCAAUGAGCCUCAUUUAAUCAGCCAUUCAACAAGCAAUCAAAGAAAUGAUGGAGGCUUUCUUUAAAUCAUAGUUCACAUAUUUUAAAUACAGUAGAGUACAUAGUGAAUUGCUCACACCCAGGCUUAAUAAGGAGCUUAUUAUUAUAGUAAAAUAUAACCGUAUCUGCCAAAUCUGAAACUUCAGAGAGAGAUGGCUGUAAUUAGAUAAUUUAGGCUGUGUGAUUAAAGCUUGGGAGGUAUGCCCUAACGCUGCACAUUCACUCUUUAGAAUUAAUACCGUUCUCCAAAUACCGUUCUCCAAACAAUUCAAAGUUUUUAAUAGAUAACCAACAAGAAUUAAAAAAUGGAAAUGAAUGUCUUAUGAAAAUUAUUUUUAAAUGUGUAAGGUGAGACAUAAAAAUAUCAAUGGUAAAAAUGAAAGGGGUUUUUACAAGCAUUUUCUUGAACACUUUAUUAGUCUUAUGUGUGGGGGUAAUUUGCCUGCAUGCAUGUCUGUGUGCCAUGGAUAUAAAGUACCCAUGGAUGCCAGAAAAGGGGCUGGGUUUCCUAGAACUAGAGUCACCGAUGGCGAAUCACCGCGUGACUCCUGGCGAUCAACCUGAGUCCUCUGUAAGAGCAGCCAAUACUCUCAAAUACGAGCAUGCCUCCAGUCCCAAGAAUUUUUUUAAAGC
This 1553-nucleotide long non-coding RNA is filed under the name Mus musculus (house mouse). Its description in RNAcentral is "long non-coding RNA chr8:45920871-45922424". Lineage: Eukaryota; Metazoa; Chordata; Mammalia; Rodentia; Muridae. The record is from RNAcentral.